Molecule: non-coding RNA, 3149 nt
Organism: Callithrix jacchus (white-tufted-ear marmoset)
Lineage: Eukaryota; Metazoa; Chordata; Mammalia; Primates; Cebidae
Source: RefSeq, a predicted model, not a curated record
AUCCCAUUUUAACAAUGAGGACACUGAGACUCAGAAAUAUUUUUUAAUUUGCUAAAAAGAUGUUAGUAAGUGGUAGACCCAGGAUUUGAGCCUCUUCCUGAAAAAUGUCACAAAUUGCACCAUGAGCUACUGUGAUAAAAAGCCCAUAUUGAAUCUUAUUACUUUAAUGACAAAUAAAAUCAACUAUGCAUAUUGAUAUUGAAGAGGAAGACUCUUUUUAUUAAACAACGAUAUUUCUUUUUUUUUAUGUGAGAAAGAAUAGAGUGGGAGAAGAGUGGCAAGGAGCAGUAUGUUCUCAUCUUAACAGUGAGAUUGCAGCAGUUAUGGUUUUCAAAUAGUCAGGACUGUUCCAAAGCAGGUGGUCUACAAGUGAAUUCAUCAAGAUGAAGAAACUGAGGAACAGAAAGAGAUAUGCCAGAAUUUACAAAAGAUGCCAUGGGGAUCCAGAGAUGAGAUGAGGAAUGAUCAACAUAGCCCUUUCACACUCAAAGAGCUGCGACAGACCUGUUCCUAGCUAUGAGGUAUUCAAAGGAAGCUUUUUCUCUAAGGUGGCUUUCAAAUUUUAAAUCAUAAGGAAAACCAGACCUGGUGUGGUUUCACCUAACUCUACAUAUCACCCCACCAGAGCCCAAAUAAAUGUACAUCUUCAGUGUGUUAACUUUUGGAAGCCAAGAUGUGCCAGGCACUGAACAUUCUUGCCUGAUACCACUUACAUUUCUUGGUCAUGAGGACAUCAGUAGUUAUUCAUCACUGCCCUCUGAACCUGGAAAAGUUUCCACAGUCUCUCUGUACAUAUAUAACAUGCACUCACUAUCCACCCACUAGUGGGCUGCAAGAAGAAACUGUUAGUCAUUCACACAUUAGCCCAUUCUGCUCUCUACUGUCCCUGUAAGGCAUCACUCAUGAGAAGUGAAGAGAGGAGAUGUGCAUAUUUUGACCCAAUAUUUAAUCUUUUUUAUAAUGAUAUUAACCUUAGUAUGGGGUACUUUAGGUCAAAAGUAUUUAUAAUAGUUGUCUUUAUAGAUAACAGAAGUUGAAUUUUGCCUUCCAACCAGGUACAUGCUGAAAGAAAUUUUAACAGUUUUCUAUGAAAUUAGAAAACAGUCCAGUGACACUGAUUAUUUAGGAGGAUUUCAAGGAUUCUUAAAUCUUCUAACCUCUUUAAUGCCUGGGCUGUUUCUCCAGAGUCUGUGCUGUCAUGGUUUCCUGUUCCAUUAAAAAUACAAGGAAAAUAUCAUGAAUGACUUACUGCAUCUGGCAAUUUCCAGGUGUUUUCUUCUUGAUCUAUGUGUCCUGUUUUAAUAAUGCUCUAGAGAGAUUUUUCAAAAAAUAAUGUCAGAGUACUCCUGCAGAAAACUGAUUGUUCCCCAUAGAAAAACUGGAAGGUAAAGAGAAAAAUAGUGUUGCUUCUGUGUACAAUAUGACAAAGCCUAGGCAUUCAAAGUCCCCUUUUCUCUUUUGCCAGUUACUUCUUGUCUGUUGCCUUUAAGGGGCAAGAUAGAACUUAUGAAAGCCAUCUUAUGUAUAUGCUUCCUUUUUUUCUCAUAGAUAUUUUUAUUUUUCCCCCUUGGUAUGAUGCACAAUUCAUGCCCCACAACCCUCUACAUGCACUAAUAUAGGAGAAAAUAAUCUUAUAUCCAAUUCAUGAAGGAACCAAUUAUUCUACAAUUGCUAUUAUUUUAUGCUCUGUGCAACUGAUAUGCAGACUAGGACAACAAUUACUCUAAAAAAAUAUGCUCUCAGGCCAGGCAUGGUGGCUCACACCUGUAAUCCCAGAACUUUGGGAGACUGGGGCAGGCAGAUCGCAAGGUCAGGAGUUCAAGAGCAGCCUGGCCAACAUGGUGAAACCCUGUCACUACUAAAAAUACAAAAAAUUAGCUGGGUAUGGUGGCAGGCACCUGUAAUCCCAGCUGCUUGGGAGGCUGAGGCAGGAGAAUCACUUGAACCCAGGAGGUGCAGGUUGCAGUGGGCCGAGAUCACACCACUGCACUCCAGCCCCAGGCAACAGAGUGAGGCUCCAUCUCAAAAAGUAAAAUAAAAUAAAAUAAAAUAGUCUCUCUAAAAUUAUUGCCAAAGAAGAAACAUAUUUGUUACUUCUUAGGUAAGAAUAUAAAUAUAUAUAUUUUCUCACCUGAAAUUCCUUGCAAAAAUAAAUACUCAUUUUCAAGUGCUACAAAAGGGCAUCUUCUCCUAUUGAUGCAGCUUUGGAAAAAAUGCUAAGCUAGCCCACAUUUUUUUUUUUUAAUUUCAGCUUUCAUGUUCUAAUUUGGGAUCAGCCACAAGAUACACAGCAGCACUCUUAGCUUCAAUAAUCAGAAUAGAACAGUUAUUCUUGAUGUGUAAUAUUCUGCCUAAUGAAACGCAUGCUUUUCUCGUGAAAACAGAGUGUAAGUUGGCAGUGAAUGUUCUUCCUAGCUAUCUCAGCCACAACAAUUUAGAGGUUACCCAGGGACACUUGCUCUGGAAUUGGGGAUAUAUACGGAAUGUGUACAAGAGUAAAAUGUCCUAAAGGAAAGAGGAAUUAACAUGCAAACGGGCUGAAGCUGUUGACUCCACUCGAUCAACUCUCUCUGUGUUUUUGGUGUGAUGUAGAACACUAAAAAUAACCCAGGCUAUUUGUUUUCAUUAUGCACACUUUGAGGCAAAUGGAAAUAAGGUAAAAUAAAUAAGGUUAUUUAUGUAGAAUAUUCAUACCUUGAUAUUAGUAUUUAAUAUUAGAUGUAGCUAGCAGAUAUAGAUAAUUUAUAACUGAAGCUGAUUACUUUGACAUUUGCAUUAGGGUAGGGUAACUGCUGUAUAUUCUAGGUCUCCAUGAUUCAGGACAACCAAGGUCUAUUCUCACAUGGGUACUGUUGACACAGCUCAGCAGGAAAGCUCUCCUUCAGGUAUCCAGGUUUCUUUAUGCUGUGGCUAUGCCAUUUCUUCAGUCUUAAGGAGAGCAGAAGACAGGAAGACCACAAAGAACUCACAAGAAGGUUUAGAGGCUAGAUCUGGCAACUAGCAAUUCUGCCCACAUAGUAUUUGCCAGAACUCAAUUCCAUAGCUCCACCUAACUCCAGGAAGACUGAGAAAUGUCGUAAAACUCUAUGCACAGAAAAAGGAAGAACCAGUACUUAUCUGCCAUUUUCUGCCAUUGCUAUUUAUCCAGU